ACAGCAGCAGCCGCGGGAAUACAGAGGGUGCGAGCGUUAAUCGGAUUUACUGGGCGUAAAGCGUGCGUAGGCGGCUUCUUAAGUCGGAUGUGAAUUCCCUGAGCUUAACUUAGGAAUUGCAUUCGAUACUGGGAAGCUAGAGUAUGGGAGAGGAUGGUAGAAUUCCAGGUGUAGCGGUGAAAUGCGUAGAGAUCUGGAGGAAUACCGAUGGCGAAGGCAGCCAUCUGGCCUAAUACUGACGCUGAGGUACGAAAGCAUGGGGAGCAAACAGGAUUAGAUACCCGCGUAGUCCCUGUCUCUUAUAC
This 305-nucleotide ribosomal RNA is filed under the name uncultured bacterium. RNAcentral describes it as "partial 16S ribosomal RNA". It matches the Rfam family "Bacterial small subunit ribosomal RNA", at positions 505 to 807 of the family's 1533-position model. The record is from RNAcentral.